AGCUGCCAUGUACUAGGCCACGUGGCAAGGGCCUGGUUGGGGACCUCCAGGGGUUGAGAGCAUCCUCUGGACAACAUGGAAAAAGAAAAUGAAAAUGGUGACCUCAGCCCUAUAGCUAGAAGGAAUUGAAUCCUGUCAACAACGAUACUCAUCACUCACUGCAGAUGUUACUUUAAGACAUUCUGGAGCAGCGUCAUGUGCAGGAGAAAAUAGUAUCAUCUCAGCCUUCUAUGAAAUCAAGGCAAUAUGUGCGUAGUGCCUCCGCCCAUCUCUCUCUUGCUCCUGGUCUCAUCGUGACGGGCCUGGUCCUGCCUCACUUUAUGCCACGACUAAGAGCUCCCUGAGGCCUCUCCAGAAGCAGAUAUCACUAUGCUUCCUACACAGCCUGCAGAACCGAACAAUAAGGAAGUGAGUGCUUUUGUAAUUCCUGAACAACUGUGUCUUACACUUACUAAGUUCUCUUGCCUGCCACCAUGUAAGAUAUGCUUUUACUCUUCCGCCUUCCACCGUGACUGUGAGGCCUCCCCAGCCAUGUGAAACUGCCUUUGAGCUUAUACUGAAUUAUACCACCAGCUUUCCUAGGUCUUGAAGCUUACAGACAGCAGAUCUUGGGACUUCUCAGGCACCAUAAUCAAUCAUAGAUAAAUGAUCCAAUGAUUCGGAACUUGAAAAGUGGUAGCUUUAUGAAUUCUCCUUAAGAAGAAACCUGUGCCCUGAUCUUGCCUACUCACCCAAAGGCACUGUGAGAUAGCAUCAAAGGAACAGCUAGUAAGAGACACAGAGCCAGAAAUCAGGGAAGUAAAAUACACUUGACAUCUACGUUCGGAAAGAAAUUUUAGGAGGCAGAAGCAAAUGGAUCAGAAGCUGCUUAUAUUUUUGCAAGAUUACCAAAGAAACCAUUGGUGGAGAAAGUUCUGUGACCAACUUGUCUGAGUCUAGUAAGAUUGAACGCUCACACACAAGUUUCAUGAAGUGGGUUUGAUACUUACAGAUAAGCAGCAAGGACCAACAGAAGCUGAUGAUCUAUGGUGAACUUUUUCCCAAGGCUCCGGAAAGCUGCCUAAAGUAGAUGGAGUCUUCUCUGUGUGUGCCCCACUGGUCCUGCAGUUGAAGGAUCCGGUAAAGCAGCCUGCCCUUGGUUUUAUACUCCAGAGGAACGUGAUUCGCUGGACUAAAGCAUUGAAGUGCAUCCUGUUUCCGGGGGGCACUGGAACAGAGCCUGGUCUGUUCUAGCCAGUCCCUUUCUAUCUCAGGAUAACAUUCUACAGUUAUUCUUGAGAACUAUAAUCAAAUAAGCAGGGAGAACUGGAGGCUCAUUGUGGAACCCUCAAGGAGCAUGGGGUCGUCUUCAUCCCUCAGUUUAUAAAUGGCCAAGGAGAGUAAUGCAACAAAAACUUCUCAGAGUUAAAAGCCAGAGUUCCUAAAGAACCGUGGACAAAGGGUUCUGUCUAGUGGGCAGAAUUCAUCCAGCGAAGGUCUCCUAACUACAGAGGGUCACAUCUGGAUCUGAUGGCACCUACAGAACUUGGACUCUGAGCGACAAUCAGUGACCAGGAAAUUUGGAACCCAGGUUUUCCCAACCUACAUCUACAAAAUGGAAUGGGUCUGAUUCGCAAGUUUUCAGAGAAAGAAGCCAACCUUAAUCAGACUGUGAUAUGAUGAGGAAAUAAAACUUGCUGUGCUAAUCAAAAAAAAAAAAAAAAAA
This 1705-nucleotide long non-coding RNA is filed under the name Homo sapiens (human). Its description in RNAcentral is "long independently transcribed non-coding RNA 2241 (LINC02241)". The record is from RNAcentral. Lineage: Eukaryota; Metazoa; Chordata; Mammalia; Primates; Hominidae.